This is a non-coding RNA of Paramisgurnus dabryanus, 616 nucleotides long. The record is from RefSeq and is a predicted model, not a curated record. Lineage: Eukaryota; Metazoa; Chordata; Actinopteri; Cypriniformes; Cobitidae.
UCAACCAAAGUCAUUAAAGACCUGUUGAAGGUAACAUUACCACAUUUAUUAAUGUAUUUAUUAUGUUAAGUGAGUACACCACAGUUCUGUAAGUGAAAAAUAAUUUAUAUUUGUGUGUUUUCUCUCUCAGUAAGGACUAAGGUUAACUGAAUGUCUGUCUGUUCUCAACCAAUGUCAUUAAAGACCUGUUGAAGUUUAGCACAAAGUUUCCAGCACAAGUUUGGAUCUUUACCAUUGAGAGUGGCUUACUGUUCUCGACCAACCAUCAUUCACACGCAAAAACUUUAAAGAUAAGUAUGAACGUGCCCAGAGCAGUUUUUGAUCUUUACCAUUAAGGAGGCUGACUGACUAUCCUCUACCACCCGUCAUUAACACAACAAAAACUAAAGAAAUGUUACUCCAUAUGGACCUAUUCAUUUACUCAUUAUGCUGUGAGUACACCACAGUUUUAUCAGUGAAAAAAGGUAUAUUUGUGUGUUUUCUCACUGCUUGGCAAGGACAGAUGUGGCCCUGUUAAAAAUGUUUAAAUGUUGUUUGGUUUAAGGAACAGCACACUGAUUUUGUUUUAAAAUAUUCCUGUUUGGACAGUCUGUUAAAGCCAUAAAGGAAUACUUGA